Molecule: ribosomal RNA, 472 nt
Filed under: Pseudomonas fluorescens
Lineage: Bacteria; Pseudomonadati; Pseudomonadota; Gammaproteobacteria; Pseudomonadales; Pseudomonadaceae
Description: bacterial SSU rRNA
Rfam family: Bacterial small subunit ribosomal RNA
Source: RNAcentral
AUUGAACGCUGGCGGCAGGCCUAACACAUGCAAGUCGAGCGGUAGAGAGAAGCUUGCUUCUCUUGAGAGCGGCGGACGGGUGAGUAAUGCCUAGGAAUCUGCCUGGUAGUGGGGGAUAACGUUCGGAAACGGACGCUAAUACCGCAUACGUCCUACGGGAGAAAGCAGGGGACCUUCGGGCCUUGCGCUAUCAGAUGAGCCUAGGUCGGAUUAGCUAGUUGGUGAGGUAAUGGCUCACCAAGGCGACGAUCCGUAACUGGUCUGAGAGGAUGAUCAGUCACACUGGAACUGAGACACGGUCCAGACUCCUACGGGAGGCAGCAGUGGGGAAUAUUGGACAAUGGGCGAAAGCCUGAUCCAGCCAUGCCGCGUGUGUGAAGAAGGUCUUCGGAUUGUAAAGCACUUUAAGUUGGGAGGAAGGGCCAUUACCUAAUACGUGAUGGUUUUGACGUUACCGACAGAAUAAGCACCG